GAUGAACGCUGGCGGCGUGCCUAAUACAUGCAAGUCGAGCGAACAGACGAGGAUCUUGCUCCUCUGACGUUAGCGGCGGACGGGUGAGUAACACGUGGAUAACCUACCUAUAAGACUGGGAUAACUUCGGGAAACCGGAGCUAAUACCGGAUAAUAUAUUGAACCGCAUGGUUCAAUAGUGAAAGACGGUUUUGCUGUCACUUAUAGAUGGAUCCGCGCCGCAUUAGCUAGUUGGUAAGGUAACGGCUUACCAAGGCAACGAUGCGUAGCCGACCUGAGAGGGUGAUCGGCCACACUGGAACUGAGAAACGGUCCAGACUCCUACGGGAGGCAGCAGUAGGGAAUCUUCCGCAAUGGGCGAAAGCCUGACGGAGCAACGCCGCGUGAGUGAUGAAGGUCUUCGGAUCGUAAAACUCUGUUAUUAGGGAAGAACAAAUGUGUAAGUAACUAUGCACGUCUUGACGGUACCUAAUCAGAAAGCCACGGCUAACUACGUG
This 497-nucleotide ribosomal RNA is filed under the name uncultured bacterium. Its description in RNAcentral is "partial 16S ribosomal RNA". It matches the Rfam family "Bacterial small subunit ribosomal RNA", at positions 28 to 507 of the family's 1533-position model. The record is from RNAcentral.